Pelobates cultripes (western spadefoot toad) is the source of this 215-nucleotide non-coding RNA. The record is from the annotation of a GenBank genome assembly. NCBI's taxonomy places the organism in Eukaryota, Metazoa, Chordata, Amphibia, Anura, Pelobatidae.
CUCCAAGUCCUCCACCAUUGAGUAUACGCACUUUAAACCAAGGGCCAAACGGAAGUCUCUGUGAUUGAGGAUACUGAAUGUCUUCUAAAGAGCCCAAAGGACCACAAUGCAGCUCACUACUGCACUUUAAUCAACGGAAGCACUCCCUUUUAGGCUACUUCUCUCAAUGCAGUUAUUCCCAAAUCUUUAUUGUUCUCACUGAAUCGAGCACUUCU